RNAcentral lists this ribosomal RNA (1322 nucleotides) under Aporia hippia. Its description in RNAcentral is "16S ribosomal RNA". The record is from RNAcentral. Lineage: Eukaryota; Metazoa; Arthropoda; Insecta; Lepidoptera; Pieridae.
UUAGGGGUAAAAUUAAUAAAUAAAUAAAUAUAAAAAAAAUUUUUAAUAUAAAUAUUUAAUGGGGGUUAAAGUAUUUUAUAGAAAAAAUUAAAAAUUUAUAGUUAAAUAGUAUUGUGAAAGAAAUUUGAAAAAUUUUAAAAUAAAAAUUUAUAUAAAAGUAAAUUUUAUUUGUUGUAUCUUGGGUAUCAGAGUUUAUUAAAAUAUGAUUUUUUAAAAAGUUAUUUCGAAUUUAAAAGAGUUAAUUAAUUAAAAAAUUUAAUAUUAUAUAAUUAUUUUAAAUAAUUAAUUAGAAAUGAAAAGUUAAUCGUUUUUAAAUAUAUCUAAUUUUUUUGGAAAAAAAUUUAAUUUUAAAUUAAUUUAUUUUAAUAAUUAAUUAAUUAAUUAUUAUUAGUUUUAAUUAAAUAUUUUAAGGGAUAAGCUUUAAAUUAAAAUAUUAUAAAUAAUUAUUAAUAAAAUUGAAAAUUUUAAAAUUUAUAUUUUUUAAAAAUUAUAAUUUAUUAUAAAUAAUUUCAUUUAAUUAAAAUUUAAUAUUUAGUUUAAUUUUUUACAAAAAUAUAAUUUUUAAUAAAAAAAAAUUAGAAAUAAUGAUAAAAUUAGUAUAUAAUAAAAAAAAAAUUAAUAAAUUAUUAAAAUUAAUAAAAAAGAAUUCGGCAAAAAUUUAUAUUCACUUGUUUAUCAAAAACAUGUCUUUUUGAUAAUAAUUUAAAGUCUAAUCUGCCCACUGAAAAAUUUAAAGGGCUGCAGUAUAUUGACUGUACAAAGGUAGCAUAAUAAUUAGUCUUUUAAUUGAAGACUUGUAUGAAUGAUUUGAUGAGAUAUAAACUGUUUCUUUAUUAAUAAUAGAAUUUAAUUUUUUAGUUAAAAAGCUAAAAUUUUUUUAAAAGACGAGAAGACCCUAUAGAGUUUUAUUUUUGAAAUUUUUAUAAUUAUUUUAUUAAAUUUAUAAUUUAUAAAAAUUAAAAAAUUUUGUUGGGGUGAUAGAAAAAUUUAAUUAACUUUUUUAAAAAAUUUAACAUUAAUAUAUGAUUUUAUGAUCCAUAACUUAUGAUUAAAAGAUUAAAUUACCUUAGGGAUAACAGCGUAAUUUUUUUUUUUAGUUCAAAUAAAAAUUAAAGUUUGCGACCUCGAUGUUGGAUUAAGAUAAAAUUUAAAUGUAAAAGUUUAAAGUUUUGAUCUGUUCGAUCAUUAAAAUCUUACAUGAUCUGAGUUCAAACCGGUGUAAGCCAGGUUGGUUUCUAUCUUUAUAUAAAUAAAAUAAUUUAGUACGAAAGGAUCAAUUAUUUUAAAUAGUUUAAUAAAAAGAAUAUUAAAAAUUUUUUUUU